GACGAACGCUGGCGGCGUGCUUAACACAUGCAAGUCGAACGGAAAGGCCCUGCUUGCAGGGUACUCGAGUGGCGAACGGGUGAGUAACACGUGGGUGAUCUGCCCUGCACUUCGGGAUAAGCUUGGGAAACUGGGUCUAAUACCGGAUAGGAGCCAUCUUUAGUGUGGUGGUUGGAAAGUUUUUUCGGUGUAGGAUGAGCUCGCGGCCUAUCAGCUUGUUGGUGGGGUAAUGGCCUACCAAGGCGGCGACGGGUAGCCGGCCUGAGAGGGUGUACGGCCACAUUGGGACUGAGAUACGGCCCAGACUCCUACGGGAGGCAGCAGUGGGGAAUAUUGCACAAUGGGCGCAAGCCUGAUGCAGCGACGCCGCGUGGGGGAUGAAGGCCUUCGGGUUGUAAACUCCUUUCGCUAGGGACGAAGCUUUUUUGUGACGGUACCUAGAGAAGAAGCACCGGCUAACUACGUG
This 466-nucleotide ribosomal RNA is filed under the name uncultured bacterium. RNAcentral's name for it is "partial 16S ribosomal RNA". It matches the Rfam family "Bacterial small subunit ribosomal RNA", at positions 28 to 507 of the family's 1533-position model. The record is from RNAcentral.